This is a non-coding RNA of Pelobates cultripes (western spadefoot toad), 206 nucleotides long. The record is from the annotation of a GenBank genome assembly. Lineage: Eukaryota; Metazoa; Chordata; Amphibia; Anura; Pelobatidae.
GGAAGGGUCAGCAAGGAGCUGGAAGGUAAAGCAGCACAAAGGCAAAGUAGAAGGAGCAGAAAGGGUCAGAAAUGAGCUGGAAGGGGCAGAAGGAGCACAAACAUAAAGUAGGAGAAUGAGCAGGAAGGGCCUGCAAGGAGCAGGAAGGAGCACAAAGGGACAGCAAGGAGCACAAAGGUAAAGUAGGAGAAAGAGCAGAAAGGGAC